Molecule: transfer RNA, 74 nt
Filed under: Chrysochromulina ericina virus
Lineage: Varidnaviria; Bamfordvirae; Nucleocytoviricota; Megaviricetes; Algavirales; Phycodnaviridae
Rfam family: tRNA
About the family: Transfer RNA (tRNA) molecules are approximately 80 nucleotides in length. Their secondary structure includes four short double-helical elements and three loops (D, anti-codon, and T loops). Further hydrogen bonds mediate the characteristic L-shaped molecular structure. tRNAs have two regions of fundamental functional importance: the anti-codon, which is responsible for specific mRNA codon recognition, and the 3' end, to which the tRNAs corresponding amino acid is attached (by aminoacyl-tRNA synthetases). tRNAs cope with the degeneracy of the genetic code in two manners: having more than one tRNA (with a specific anti-codon) for a particular amino acid; and 'wobble' base-pairing, i.e. permitting non-standard base-pairing at the 3rd anti-codon position.
Source: Rfam by way of RNAcentral
GCCCCUGUGGCGUAAUUGGAUAGCGCACCAGACUUCUAAUCUGGGGGUUGCGAGUUCGAAUCUCGCCAGGGGUU